UGAGGAAUAUUGCGCAAUGGGGGAAACCCUGACGCAGCAACGCCGUGUGAGUGAUGAAGGCUCUCGGGUCGUAAAACUCUGUCAGAUAGGACGAAUCUUCAGAGGUAAAUAGCUUCUGAAGUUGACUGUACUAUCAGAGGAAGCCCCGGCUAACUCCGUGCCAGCAGCCGCGGUAAUACGGAGGGGGCAAGCGUUGUUCGGAAUUAUUGGGCGUAAAGGGCGUGUAGGUGGUUUUGUAAGUCAGACGUGAAAGCCCUCUGCUUAACAGAGGAAGUGCGUUUGAAACUGCAUUACUUGAGUACGAGAGAGGAGAGUGGAAUUUCCAGUGUAGCGGUGAAAUGCGUAGAUAUUGGAAGAACACCGGUGGCGAAGGCGGCUCUCUGGCUCGUUACUGACACUGAAACGCGAAGCUAGGGGAGCAAACG
This 425-nucleotide ribosomal RNA is filed under the name uncultured bacterium. Its description in RNAcentral is "bacterial SSU rRNA". It matches the Rfam family "Bacterial small subunit ribosomal RNA", at positions 355 to 774 of the family's 1533-position model. The record is from RNAcentral.